AUAUUGGAUAUGAAUAUCUACAGUUGUACUUAUUUUUUCAUGUGUGUGUGUGGAGUAUUAAAUUUGAAAGUGCAAUAGAUUGGAUAAAUAAAUGUAAUCCAGAUAAAAUAUAAACUAACUUUGAAACAAAGGUUGCCUAUGUUUGGUCACUUUUGGUGGUGUGCAAGUGGAGUGGUUUAUAAAAUUAUGUCAUCGUGUUGCUCGCCUCUCGUCGUCUUCCCCUCUUCCCACGCGCCUCUCCCGUCCCGUGUCCCACCUGCGUGGGGUCAACCGGUCAACGCGCCACACGCUUUGCAAUUUUCCACUCUCACCCCUCCUCCCCCCAAAAAUAUUCAAUCUGGCCCAACCAGUACAAGGCUGACAUGACAUACAUGGGCAGGGACCACGGCCCAAUAAUGCAAAGCCCAACAAACUCCAUUGGCCCAAAUACGGCCCACUAAACGAAAGCCCAAUAAUAUAUCUCAUGGGCCAAAAGCCUCCUCCUUCCCGUCUCCUUCUGUCACCAUUCGAUUCCCAAACUCUCGCCGCCGCCGCCGCCGCCGGGGACGAUGGGGAAGGUGCCGCACGCCAUGCGCGCCGCCAAGCUCCCCCUCGCCGUCCUUGCCAAGCCCACCCAUGCUUCGGCUUCCCAGCCCCCUGCGCCGCCGAGGCCCAGCAAUCCCAGGCACCGGAAAACCCCAGCCAAGGCUUCCAAAACCCCGGCUCCGGCCACGGCCGCCGCGCCGCCGCCGGUAGAGAAGAGGCCGAUCAAGACUGCCUCCGACCUCGCCGCAGCCAUCCGCGCGGCGGCCGACGCCGACGUCGACGCGGCGGUCGACCUCGCGCGGUCCGCGGCCCGCACCAUCCCGCUCCCGCCGCACUCCCUCUCGCUGCUCCUCCGCCGCCUCGCCCGCCACCGCUCCGUCGCCGCGGCGAGGGGCCUCCUCGCGGAGCUCCACCCCUCGCCCGCCUCCCCGCCGCCACGCCCCGCGCUGCUCGCGCUGUCCGACGCCGUCUGCCGCCGCGGGGAGCCCCGGGAGAUCGCGCAGCUCCUCCCCGUCCUCGCCGACCACGGCGUCAAGGCCGACGCCCCCGUCUACAACGCCCUCAUGAAGGCGCACUGCGCCGCCUCCGACCCCGCGGGUGUCCUCGGCGUCCUCCGCCGCAUGAAGGACGACGGCGUCGAGCCCGACCUCGUCACCUACAACACCCUCGUCUUCGGCCUCGCGCGCGCCGGGAUGGUCACCAAGGCAAGAACCUAUCUCGACGCCAUGGCCGCCGCUGGCCACUUCCCGGACGUCAUCACAUACACCUCGCUGAUGAACGGGAUGUGCGUCAAGGGCGACGCCAUGGGAGCGCUUGCUCUCCUCGAGGAGAUGGAGGCCAAGGGAUGCGAGCCGAAUGAGCGAACAUACAACACUCUGCUCAUGGGGCUCUGCAAGAACAAGAAGCUCGACAAGGCCGUCGAUGUUUACAAAUCCAUGGUUGGUGCCGCGAUGAAGCUUGAAGCUCCAGCUUAUGCGACAUUCGUCAGGGCGUUGUGUCGUGCAGGGAGAAUACCGGAUGCAUACGAGGUGUUCGACUACGGGAUCGAGAGCAAGAGCUUUGCGGAGGUGACGUUGUAUACUGAGCUCGAGAACUCGCUCAAGUGGCUGCACCGGAUGAAAUCAUAAAGUAGGCUGCAUGGCCAGUAUCUUUGUCCCUGGUACUGCAAUGGUUCAUGCUAGCAUGGGAGAAAACUGAGUCAUCAUGUCCUGCCUUUUCCAUGACCGGCAAGCUCAACAGAAAAGAUGUCCGCAGUUAUCCAAUAUUUAUGAAAGCACAGCUUGAUUACUUGAAUGGUCUGCAUCAGAUGUUUAUACCCUUUUGUUGGUACCGACUACUGAGCAACUUCAUACUCCCUCCGUCACAAAAAAAAAAAGACAGAUACAUAGUCAGGGUUUGCCUUUUUUGAGACGGAGGGAAUACUUUGGAAUGCUCAUUAGUCUUUAUGCAGCAGUGGAAUCUCAUGCAAAAGAAGGGAUAUUGUACUAGAGGAAUAUAUUGGUCUUUUUCUAUUGGUGUCCCCCCACUUUGGUCCCUCUGGGAUCAGUUUUCCUGUAAAUGUCUGAAUAAAUCAUCCAAAUCUCAAUUUCUGAAGGUCCAUAUGGUCCAUCUGUAGGAGACAUUAAGCUUUUAGUAAACUGACUGUUGUCUACUGGAGUAAAGCAAAAGAUUUGUGGAAAUAAAAAAAAAUCCUGCUUGUGUAAGAUUUUAGGAUUUUGUCACCUGGAUCCAGUUUCUCAUGCCGAAGUUUUGGUGUCAGCAUUCAGCAAUCCUGUGAGUCAUGCAUAGCUGAAGGUUCAUACUGCUGCCUGUCUCAUCAAAAGUUCAGAUUUUGCAAUGUUGUUUGGGAAGGUAAGGUCUACGCAUUGUCCCUAAAACACAGCAAUUUUUGUUUCUCACAGGAAACACGUCAGCUGCUGAGAAGGCAAUACUGAAGACGAAAUGGUCUGUCAACUGAAUCUUGACCACUGCAGCUAUUUGUAAUAGACAAAAGCCAAGAUUGAUCAUAAAUCAAAAUGAAGUGCAUGGCAAGAGUUGUAACGUGACUAAAGAAGAAUGCAAGGAUCAUGGAAAAAAAGCUGAGAGAAACUGGCGGAUGCAUUGCCUUCAUGUCAGUAUCAACAUAUAGCUGCGAUGUGCCUCUCUGGUCAAGUGAUGGCCUCUGUGAUGGAUGAUCUUGUAGAACAUCCAGGAACAUGGCAAUCCCGAUUAGGCGAUUAAACAAGGAGAUCAAUCUCGCGUGUCAUCCAGCAAAAUGAUAGCCAGCUCUGAAAGUCAGGUCCAAGUUAUCACACCUCUUGAGCUGACAAGAAGCCAAGUUAGAUUAACAGGAAGAGGAGCAGAACAAACGCACCAACCAGUCUACCACAAACAGGACAAAUCAAUAAUUGAAUAUCAUGCGCGGAUUGCUGCUGGAACAACAACAAGAGUUGAUAGAUUCGAGCUUUGCCUUAUGCAACAGGUGAGAGCUCCUUUGCUUUUACACAAUGCAAAUUCCAUCCAUGGAUUGUCUCUGAAGAUAGGGUUGUAACAUCCGGCAAGAAACAUAUGGCCAACAUGGAGCGAUCUACACAGGAGAUGCCAUACGGUAAUUGCACAUGGAGAGGAAUAGGAUUCUGAUGCAAAGGCUCAAACAAUUUUCAAAGAGAAAAGGAAAACGGAUCAGCUCCUUUAGGUCGCAAGUUUGUCAGUGCAAUUUUGUCUGAAAUGACAGGAAAUAAUGUGUUGCACCAUGUUUUUGCGUUGUUGCUGCUGUCGUUGGUUGCCUGGGGCUUAACCUGACCAGUGGAGGAGGAAGGACCAAGGACAAUAACACAUUACACGUAGGACAGCGAGGUGGUUGCUUGAGGAGGAGAAAGCUGCAUUGAUGGCUUGUUGCUGCUGGUGUUGGUGUUGCGGGGACCUGCUUGUCUCUGUUGGCAGAUAAGAAGCCAGCUCCUUUUAUCCGUCCUUGUGUCCUCCCUGUUGGUCGUUACAGAUGAGAUAUUAACUCCAUCUUGGAAUGUUUGGUGUUUUUUGACCAGAAAAACAAAGAAAUACACUCUGAAUGAAAAUGCCAGAAUGUAUCCAUCAGUGGAAAUAUGUUAACAAGAAGGAAACAUCAAAGGUUAAUGAAAUGGAUGGAUGAUAUCACUGGAGUUCAUAUAUGCAUCAUUGGACAGGUCACGAACAUAUCCCCUCCAUCCUAGAAAAAAGAAGAACUUCUAGCUAUGAACAAAUGUGAGCAUAUGAUUUGGACAAAGGAAAAUGACAAGCACAGAAGCACUUGGGAGAGAAAUUCCUGAUCAAAUGUGCCAGUAUUUUGGCAUCUGAACAUCCGUCGCCGUCCAAACUAUGCCACAAGAGGGAACUUAACAUGUCUUGCAAGAAAGCAAAAGAAGCCUCUCCUGCCUAGUGUAUACCAACCCUGCAUUCGACGGCGACAGGUAUAAUUCUAUACAAAGCCAAAUCCAUCCAUCAGAACUCACAUUAACCAAACAUAAGAGCUGUCACUAUCUUAAAGGACACACCAUCUCAAUCUCAUCGGUCCCAAGUGAGGAAAGUUUGGUCAGCUAACUGAAAAGAAUCCAUAGCACAAGCAUGAAUCUUGAUCGGAUUACUGAAGUAACAAGAGUGAAAUUUACCCUAGCUAACGUAUAUGUCACACCAUUUAAACAAGGAAUAGUUAGUUUAGUAGGAGAUUGAGAUACAAGGAACCAGAGAUCGAUCGAUCGAGAUAUUGCGAUGAUAACCAUCUGAUGGGGUAACAAACAAGUGGUCAUAAAAUUGGGCAACCUAGAGCUAACACUAGAAGAAACAGCAAGCAAGAAUGAUGGGUAGAUCGAUGUGAUGCCUCGUCUUAUGGUGAUUUGCCCACCAAAUAAUAGAUUUACACACACACACAAACACCAAUCAUACACUGACCAACAAUGGCACGAACUUGCAAGAAAGGGCUAGAGGUGGUCCAGAUGGAUACAGCUUUACACCAACCAUCAGAUUAGAUUAGUAGUCAGCUUGCAAGAAUGCAUGAGACAUGCUGCCUGCAGCUAUCGAGCGUACUAUUAGAUUAGGUUUAUGUUUUAGUAUCAUUUGUAAGUACAAGAAACGAACAACUGAUCAUGCAAUUAAUGAAUUUUGACGCUA
This is an RNA transcript of Oryza sativa Japonica Group (Japanese rice), 4647 nucleotides long. It is a transcript of the gene named pentatricopeptide repeat-containing protein At2g17670, with no coding region annotated. The record is from RefSeq and is a predicted model, not a curated record. NCBI's taxonomy places the organism in Eukaryota, Viridiplantae, Streptophyta, Magnoliopsida, Poales, Poaceae.